AUACGGAGGAUCCGAGCGUUAUCCGGAUUUAUUGGGUUUAAAGGGUGCGCAGGCGGCCAUUUAAGACAGCGGUUAAAUCGUGGGGCUCAACCCCAUUCUGCCGUUGAUACUGGGUGGCUUGAUUGCGGUCGAGGUUGGCGGAAUUCGUUGUGUAGCGGUGAAAUGCAUAGAUAUGACGAAGAACACCGAUUGCGUAGGCAGCUGACCAGAUCGCAAAUGACGCUCAUGCACGAAAGUGCGGGGAUCGAACAGGAUUAGAUACCCUGGUAGUCCGCACAGUAAACGAUGAAUACUUGUUUUCGGCGAUAUAAUGUCGGAGGCAAAGCGAAAGCGAUAAGUAUUCCACCUGGGGAGUACGCCGGCAACGGUGAAACUCAAAUGAAUUGACGGGG
Molecule: ribosomal RNA, 392 nt
Filed under: uncultured bacterium
Lineage: Bacteria
Description: partial 16S ribosomal RNA
Rfam family: Bacterial small subunit ribosomal RNA
Source: RNAcentral